AGUUUGUUUUUGUUCUUUCCUAAAUAAUUUAUUGUUGCCAGUAAAUAUUAACAUUUAACUAUGCACCCCUAUUUGCAAGUUUUGCAAGAUUUUCCAAACAUCAAAUGUGACAAAAAUAAACAUUUUUCUUUUUCUUUUCUUUUCUUUUCUUUUCUUUUGAAGGUAUUGAUCUCCAACCCAGAAUUUUCUUACAUAUUUUUGCAACUCUUGCUGUUAAGUUAGUAUGGCUUAAGAAUGAUACAAAGUGUUCAAGUUCAACUCUCCAAGUUGAAGAGUUACCCAAAUGUCAUAAAUGAAAGUAAAGGUCUCUAUGAAGCAGGCUACUCCAGAGUCUAGGAUGUGGAACAAUGGAUUCAUGCUACAGAGAUUUCACCUAAACAUUAGGAAGACCUUUCUGAUGAGGCCUCUUCAGGCGAAGAAAAGGAGUGAUGCCAGAAGCAGAAGUGAAUGGUAACCAUAUUAUGUCAGAAGCAGAGCAUGGUUUAUCACAGGCAGCACUUGCAGAACUGGAGGACAAAAUGGAGUCCUGACACGCCGUCAUGCAUUGACCAUUCAAAUGCCAUGAACAGAAAUGGCAAAAACACUCGUCUCUGCUUUAUGUAAACUCUGCCCAGUUAAGAGGUCAGCUGGAGUAAAUUAUUGCUGGUUAUAAAUUAACUCAACCAAAGCUUUCUGGUGCUGUGUAAAGUAGGAGUAGAUACAAUGCUUCUUGGUGACCUGGUUGUAUCCCCUGGGUUAUUUGUAUCUCUGACCUUCAUUUCUCUGACAAUUUCCUUCCUGGUUUUUGUUUGGGAUGAUAUGCUUAAUUUGAUUUAUGACUGCUUGGAUUAUGCAUCUGCUUCCAUGAACUGGCCAAGGUUUGCCUUGGUUGACUGCUAUGGGCUGGAGAUAUAUUCUCCAGAGUGCAUGCUUGUUUUAAAACAGCAAUGAAUGUGUAUCUAUGCAUGCAUUAUUAGUUAUUACAUCUUCCAGCCAAUUCAAGGAAUUUUAUAUGAAUCAUUUAUUUCCUCCUUUAGCCUCACUUAAAAAAAACCUAUGAGGCAGGAUGAACAACAUCCAAGAUCUUCCAGUUCAAACUUCUAGUUCAAUCACUUUUAACCACUGAGUACUUGUAUGUUUAAAUAUAUACCUUGACUUAAGAGUUUGAUUUGUUCUGUGACUGAGCUCUUAACUCAAAAUGCUCUUAUGUCGAAGCAAAUUUCCCAUUGAAAUGCUAUUAAUCCAUUCUGCCCACCACCACCACCACCAACCCCCAUUUGGUUACGUGUCUAAAUAAGAAAAUGUACUUGAUAAAUAACAAACAACAUACGUUCACUGCUGGAAAUACCAACCUUCCAAGCCUUCACUAUUUAUCUGUUAAUGUAUAUAUUUGCUAACCUAGAUUGUAUGUAUAUAUUGAUUUGCCAGUUUGACUGACCUCUUUGGUGUGGGAGUGAUUGUACUGAGCAUGUUCAGACUCAAGACUCCAUUUUGUUAUCAGUAUGUGUUUAGACUUCAAUGGAACAAGUUGUUUAUGGAUUUUAAUGCUAUCAGUCUGCUUUAGACCUCAGUGGAGGUGGAUGCAUGUAUGCUUUUGGACUUCAAUAGAGAUGUAUGAUUUUGGACUUCAGUGAGUACAACUAUACUUUGGACUAUGGACUAUUGAUUAAGAAUGAUACCCUGUGUUCUCAACUUAGAGAAAACACAACCUAUCUAACUGAACUUUAAUAAGAAAUGUACCUGUGUAAUGAAUUAAUACAAGAUGUUUGUGAGUAAACAAGAUAUUUAAAAAAAA
Molecule: long non-coding RNA, 1774 nt
Organism: Anolis carolinensis (green anole)
Lineage: Eukaryota; Metazoa; Chordata; Lepidosauria; Squamata; Anolidae
Exons: 3
Source: RefSeq, a predicted model, not a curated record